GGUUUCACUGUUAUCUGUGAGACUAACAUAUUGACAUUUGAGUUUUGAGUUCUAAAUUUCUACAGGAGAAUCAUGAGUAAUUACAGUGGCAGUUCUUCUGUUGAUCCUGACUACAACAUGGAAGAGACAAAGUCGUCGUCUUCAAGGCCAAAGAGAGAACAGAGAGAAUAUGAUAGUUUCAGAAGAAAAGCUGAGAUAGCCCGAGGGAAAAGAGCGAUGACAGAGAGGUAUGAGCUUAUAGAUGAGGAUCUGGAAGACGAGUACAUGCCUGAGCAUACUCGCAGAGCCACCAAACUUCUGUACAAACCUGAUGUAUUGCCUGCUGAGGAAUAUAUUAGGCUCUUCAAACUGAAUGAGUUCUGCAGAACGAGGUACCCUUGCUCGACUACACUUGCAUAACUCGGAUUGUUAGAGGAUGUUCAGCACAUGUACCAGAGUUGUCAUCUUGACACUCUGAUGGCGUAUCCAUAUGUGGCAUAUGAAGAAGAGACAAUUCAGUUCCUCUCCACACUGCAAGUGGAACUUUACCAAGGUAUGACCUCUGAUGAAUUGGAUUGCGAAGGAUUGGGAUUCUAGCGAUUCUCUGUGUAUGGUCAUGAGUAUAGGUUAUCAAUCAAACGCUUGGAAGAAUUGUUUGGUUUCCCUAGUGGAAGGGGAACUAAGCCCAAGUAUGACAGAGAAGAGUUGAAAGACUUGUGGAUCACCAUUGGCAGCUCUGUACCGCUGAAUUCUUCCAGGUCAAAGAGCAAUCAGAUACGUAGCCCUAUCAUCAGGUACUUCCAGCGUUCUAUAGCCAAUGUACUCUACUCCCGAGUGAUCAUAGGGACUGCUACUAAUUCUGAUAUGGAGAUGAUCGCUAUGGCUUUCAAGGGAACUCUUCGCCAAACUAAGAACGGCAUGUCUCUCCAAGGUGAAAUCGAUGACACACCUCUCUCUGUACUUCUUCUGAUCCAUCUGUGUGGAUACAAGAGCUGGGCUGUCAGCAAUAACCACAAGAGAGCACGAGGCGCUCUGUGCAUAGGUGGCGUUGUGACACCGAUUCUGAUCGCUUCUGGAGUCCCAAUCACAUCUGAUGGACUCGAGCCACGAGCAAUGGAUAUCGAGCAUCUACGUCACUACAAACUCCUGGAGUUCGCAAUGGUUGGCGACUUGCACCAGUUCAGGUUUGAGCACUCUACAGAUAAGAGAGCUAGCAUCCUUCUCCCUAGCCCUGAGGUUACACGGAUAAUAGAGGGAUAUAACAUUGAUUUUCGGCCAGAGAUUGGACGCCUCUACUAUGAGAACGCUCCGCCAUUGGAUGAAGAUGAUCUUCUAGAAGAGGCUGCUGAGGAUGGGAUGGAUGAAGACAGAGCAGUGGAGUUCGACACUAGCAUGUAUCACUUUGGUGAACAUGUGCCUCCAGCAAAGGAGAGCAAGAGCUUGAGUGAAGCUCAUAGGAACAAAAGUAAACUGCAGAAGUGGUGCAAGAAGCAGGACAAGCUGCUCGCCAAGUGUUUCAAGACUAUCAAGUUUCUGACAGAUAAGCUGAGUUGUUCCUGCUCCACUACUGCUAUUCCACAGGGACAACCUCCUUUAGAGAUGCCAUCGAGGAGAUUGGAUGAGCCUCAGCACAGGCCUGAGCUUAGUCAGCAGAGAGUCUCACAUGUCCCGGCUAGGCAUUCGUCAUUCGAGUCCCGGGAGCACAAGAGAAGAAGGAAGGCUACACUCACUCGAUCUAGCAGCAGAUCACGCCUAAUUCACUCGAGGAGAUCACUCGACCGCGGUGCUGGCCUCAACAGAAGGAGAGAGGUCGAGUAUCCUCAGAGCGGUGUUGGCCGCCACAGAGCUGAUGAGGUCGAGUACCCACCUGCUGGAGCUGAUACGGAACAGGGCGGUUCGUCUAUGGCCUGGGAGCAAUCACAGGCAGCCCUUGACGACCAACUACGUUCAUUCUUCGACUGAGGUAAGCGCCUCACUUCACCAUUGUAUUAUAUCAUCUGUUGUGAUUUGUUCUUCAUUUUGUUUCUGUGAUUGGAUUUGUCCUGAGUACUCUCUUCUAAGUUUAUUCACACAGUGGACUGUGUGAUUUAAGUUUGGAGGAGGGCUCAGGAAGUGUGUGUUGAAUUGUGUAUAUUUUUGAGUCUAUGGCAUAGAAAAACCUUGAGACGAAAAAAAAAAAAUUGAAAAAUUUCAGAAAAUGAUUUCAAAAAAAAAAGAGUGUUCAUGUAGUUGGAUUACAUUUAGGAUCGAGUCUAUAGUGUUUCAUUUUUGGAUUGUUGAAUAUGCAUAGGGACAAUGAUGAGAUAGCCUUGUAAGCAUUUUGGUUCACCGGAUAAACUCAGUGCCCUCGUUGCUAGUUGUAUGUUGCAUAGUCAAUGAAUUUGAAAUAAAACUGACCCAUGCCUAGAUUACUCUACUCGACCACACUGUCAUGAUCUGAUACCAUUCCCUAUCAAUUUAAACCUGAAUCUGAUCUUUAAUUGUCAUGUCUGCAUCAAAUUUGAACUCAUGGAUACCCUAAAAUACUUGGAUUUUCUUAUUCAUUUUGAUCAGUCUUGUUAAUCCAAGUAGCUGACUCUCCUUAUUAGAGCAGUUAACCCAAACUCAAACCUAAACUUUCUUUCAAGCCCUAUAUCACUUGUGAGUGUUUGUGAGGUCUUAUUCCGAUUAAGCUUAGUAAAAAGUGUUAGGUUCGUAACGACAGAGAUAGUGUCUCAUGUAGUUCUAGUUUGCAUUUUUCGGACUAGAUAGGAUUAAGUGGGCGCUUAUACUUUGGGUUGGGAUGUGUUUAAAAGAAAAGAAGGGGUUGAUUCAUUGAUGAGAAAAGGUAAAGGACUCUAGGUGAAGUAAGCUAAAGAAGCAGAAAAAGUCUAGUAAAGGUUUUGGGAUUUAUAAAGAAAAGAAAGAGUUCUUUUUAGCUAUUGAAGAUGGGCAAUAGCCCUCGGUUUUAAAAUGUUAAAAACGGGAACCUUAGUUGUUAAAGAAAUCCAAAAUCAGCUAGAUGUAUCAAAGUGUUGAGAAAACUUCUCCUAGAGUUAAGAGAAAAGAAAAGAAUGGUUAGAAAAAGGGCAUAAAGGAUUCAAGAAUUCAAAGGGUAGAGUUAGGUUCUUAUAUUGGGAUUGGAGAUGGGAUUACCAUUAGAGCUUCAUUUGAUAUACUUUGGGUAGAUGAGAUCUUAUCUCUGUAUGCAUAGCUUGGGAUUUACCUUUAGCAUUCUAAUAAAGCUUAAUCAUUUUUUGAGAGAUCCCCUUUUACUGAAGCCUAUUCUGUAAGAGACCAUCUUUGUCUCUUGACCUUUUACCUUAGCCAAAUGAGUUCAUUGAUGAUGCAUUGCUUGAUUCACGUUCCAGAACUAAUGAAUGUUAAUGGGAUUGGUAGAUUUGAAAACAUGUGUAGGUCGAGCAUAUGAGUCGGAUUGAUUGAUAAUAAGGCAUGGCUAACAUUUUUGAGUAGAAUUGGAUCAUAUCGCAGCUUAGAACUAUCAACUUGGACAUUGAUUUCAUCUGGUUUAUCUUGUGCUUUGGCUUUGAGUCCCUGCUUUCAAACCUCACCUCCAGCUUGUUCUUAGUUGUUUGCUUGAGGCCAAGCAAAGACUAAGUUUGGGGGAGUUGAUAAGUGUGUAUUUUGCAUGUUUUGACCAUCCAUUUGUCAUCACUUUAGCACCAUAUCAUCACUGCUU
This 3658-nucleotide small RNA is filed under the name Arabidopsis thaliana (thale cress). RNAcentral's name for it is "ATSL167900". The stretch from base 1337 to 1557 matches the Rfam family "MIR854 microRNA precursor family". The record is from RNAcentral. Lineage: Eukaryota; Viridiplantae; Streptophyta; Magnoliopsida; Brassicales; Brassicaceae.